RNAcentral lists this ribosomal RNA (255 nucleotides) under uncultured bacterium. Its description in RNAcentral is "partial 16S ribosomal RNA". It matches the Rfam family "Bacterial small subunit ribosomal RNA", at positions 524 to 776 of the family's 1533-position model. The record is from RNAcentral.
UACAGGGGGGGGCAAGCGUUUGUUCGGAAUUACUGGGCGUAAAGGGCUCGUAGGUGGCCAACUAAGUCGGACGUGAAAUCCCUCAGCUUAACUGGGGAACUGCGUCCGAUACUGGAUGGCUUGAGUUUGGGAGAGGGAUGCGGAAUUCCAGGUGUAGCGGUGAAAUGCGUAGAUAUCUGGAGGAACACCGGUGGCGAAGGCAGGUCUCUGGGCUGACACUGACGCUCAUGCACGAAAGCGUGGGGAGCAAACAGG